CCUACGGGAGGCUGCAGUGAGGAAUAUUGGUCAAUGGGCGCGAGCCUGAACCAGCCAAGCAGCGUGAAGGAUGACUGCCCUACGGGUUGUAAACUUCUUUUAUAAAGGAAUAAAGUCCGGUACGUGUGUCUUUUUGUAUGUACUUUAUGAAUAAGGAUCGGCUAACUCCGUGCCAGCAGCCGCGGUAAUACGGAGGAUCCGAGCGUUAUCCGGAUUUAUUGGGUUUAAAGGGAGCGUAGAUGGGUUGUUAAGUUAGUUGUGAAAUUUUGCGGCUCAACCCUGAAAUUGCAUUUGAUACUGGUAGACUUGAGAACAGUUGAGGUAGGCGGAAUUCAUGGUGUAGCGGUGAAAUGCUUAGAGAUCACAAAGAACACCGAUUGCGAAGGCAGCCUACUAAACUGUAACUGACAUUGAUGCUCGAAAGUGUGGGUAUCAAACAGGAUUAGAUACCCUAGUAGUC
This 460-nucleotide ribosomal RNA is filed under the name uncultured bacterium. Its description in RNAcentral is "partial 16S ribosomal RNA". It matches the Rfam family "Bacterial small subunit ribosomal RNA", at positions 338 to 795 of the family's 1533-position model. The record is from RNAcentral.